This 843-nucleotide small RNA is filed under the name Pongo abelii (Sumatran orangutan). RNAcentral describes it as "processed transcript". Lineage: Eukaryota; Metazoa; Chordata; Mammalia; Primates; Hominidae. The record is from RNAcentral.
UCCUAGCACACCCAUCACUUGGGAAAUUACAAAGGUUUUAGAAGCUCUGGGCCAGGAACCCAGGAUGAAGACCCAAUACAGCUAUAAGUUUAAAAGCUUAAAGCACUGUGUGAGUGCUGGGGAACCAAUCACCCCUGACGUGACUGAAAAAUGGAGAAACAAGACGGGCCUGGAUAUCUACGAAGGAUAUGGACAGACUGAAACGGUGCUAAUCUGUGGAAAUUUUAAGGGAAUGAAAAUUAAACCUGGCUCAAUGGGAAAACCUUCUCCUGCUUUCGAUGUUAAGAUUGUAGAUGUAAAUGGCAAUGUUCUACCUCCUGGACAAGAAGGAGAUAUUGGCAUUCAAGUUCUACCUAACCGACCAUUUGGCCUUUUUACUCACUAUGUAGAUAAUCCUUCAAAAACAGCUUCAACUCUACGAGGCAAUUUCUAUAUCACUGGGGACAGAGGAUAUAUGGAUGAAGAUGGGUAUUUCUGGUUUGUUGCAAGAGCAGAUGAUGUCAUAUUAUCCUCUGGUUAUCGAAUUGGACCAUUUGAGGUAGAAAAUGCCCUGAAUGAACACCCUUCAGUUGCAGAGUCAGCUGUUGUCAGCAGCCCAGACCCCAUCAGAGGAGAGGUAGUAAAGGCUUUUGUCGUUCUAAAUCCUGAUUACAAGUCACAUGAUCAAGAACAACUAAUAAAGGAGAUUCAGGAGCAUGUUAAAAAAACCACAGCACCUUACAAAUAUCCCAGAAAGGUAGAAUUUAUUCAAGAGCUGCCAAAGACUAUCAGUGGGAAGACAAAAAGAAAUGAACUGAGGAAGAAAGAAUGGAAGACAAUUUAAAGUUGUUUCAUUAAUUACCA